UUGCCCAAUGAUUAUAGCAAGACGCGUUAUUAUGAGGACUAAUGCUGGAACUCUUUCUCCUCCUCCUUCUUUGUCCCUUCCUCUUUCACCUUACCCCUCACUUUCCUUAGGGUAUCCAGCGUCCUAUGAGCAAGACUGAGAUAUGAGGGCAA
This 152-nucleotide small nucleolar RNA is filed under the name Nipponia nippon (crested ibis). Its description in RNAcentral is "Small nucleolar RNA SNORD97". It matches the Rfam family "Small nucleolar RNA SNORD97". The record is from Rfam by way of RNAcentral. Lineage: Eukaryota; Metazoa; Chordata; Aves; Pelecaniformes; Threskiornithidae.